CUGAGGCGUGACGACGAGGCACUACGGUGCUGAAGCAACAAAUGCCCUGCUUCCAGGAAAAGCCUCUAAGCAUCAGGUAACAUCAAAUCGUACCCCAAACCGACACAGGUGGUCAGGUAGAGAAUACCAAGGCGCUUGAGAGAACUCGGGUGAAGGAACUAGGCAAAAUGGUGCCGUAACUUCGGGAGAAGGCACGCUGACACGUAGGUGAAGUGAUUUACUCAUGGAGCUGAAGUCAGUCGAAGAUACCAGCUGGCUGCAACUGUUUAUUAAAAACACAGCACUGUGCAAACACGAAAGUGGACGUAUACGGUGUGACGCCUGCCCGGUGCCGGAAGGUUAAUUGAUGGGGUCAGCGCAAGCGAAGCUCCUGAUCGAAGCCCCGGUAAACGGCGGCCGUAACUAUAACGGUCCUAAGGUAGCGAAAUUCCUUGUCGGGUAAGUUCCGACCUGCACGAAUGGCGUAAUGAUGGCCAGGCUGUCUCCACCCGAGACUCAGUGAAAUUGAACUCGCUGUGAAGAUGCAGUGUACCCGCGGCAAGACGGAAAGACCCCGUGAACCUUUACUAUAGCUUGACACUGAACAUUGAGCCUUGAUGUGUAGGAUAGGUGGGAGGCUUUGAAGCGUGGACGCCAGUCUGCGUGGAGCCGACCUUGAAAUACCACCCUUUAAUGUUUGAUGUUCUAACGUGGACCCGUAAUCCGGGUUGCGGACAGUGUCUGGUGGGUAGUUUGACUGGGGCGGUCUCCUCCUAAAGAGUAACGGAGGAGCACGAAGGUUGGCUAAUCCUGGUCGGACAUCAGGAGGUUAGUGCAAUGGCAUAAGCCAGCUUGACUGCGAGCGUGACGGCGCGAGCAGGUGCGAAAGCAGGUCAUAGUGAUCCGGUGGUUCUGAAUGGAAGGGCCAUCGCUCAACGGAUAAAAGGUACUCCGGGGAUAACAGGCUGAUACCGCCCAAGAGUUCAUAUCGACGGCGGUGUUUGGCACCUCGAUGUCGGCUCAUCACAUCCUGGGGCUGAAGUAGGUCCCAAGGGUAUGGCUGUUCGCCAUUUAAAGUGGUACGCGAGCUGGGUUUAGAACGUCGUGAGACAGUUCGGUCCCUAUCUGCCGUGGGCGCUGGAGAACUGAGGGGGGCUGCUCCUAGUACGAGAGGACCGGAGUGGACGCAUCACUGGUGUUCGGGUUGUCAUGCCAAUGGCACUGCCCGGUAGCUAAAUGCGGAAGAGAUAAGUGCUGAAAGCAUCUAAGCACGAAACUUGCCCCGAGAUGAGUUCUCCCUGAGACUUUAGGUCUCCUGAAGGAACGUUGAAGACGACGACGUUGAUAGGCCGGGUGUGUAAGCGCAGCGAUGCGUUGAGCUAACCGGUACUAAUGAACCGUGAGGCUUAACCUUACAACGCCGAAG
RNAcentral lists this ribosomal RNA (1405 nucleotides) under Salmonella enterica subsp. enterica serovar Uganda. RNAcentral describes it as "partial 23S ribosomal RNA". It matches the Rfam family "Bacterial large subunit ribosomal RNA", at positions 1556 to 2925 of the family's 2925-position model. The record is from RNAcentral. Lineage: Bacteria; Pseudomonadati; Pseudomonadota; Gammaproteobacteria; Enterobacterales; Enterobacteriaceae.